This 460-nucleotide ribosomal RNA is filed under the name uncultured bacterium. Its description in RNAcentral is "partial 16S ribosomal RNA". It matches the Rfam family "Bacterial small subunit ribosomal RNA", at positions 338 to 795 of the family's 1533-position model. The record is from RNAcentral.
CCUACGGGUGGCAGCAGUGAGGAAUAUUGGUCAAUGGACGCGAGUCUGAACCAGCCAAGUAGCGUGAAGGAUGACUGCCCUAUGGGUUGUAAACUUCUUUUAUAUGGGAAUAAAGUGUUCCCCGUGUGCCUUUUUGUAUGUACUUUAUGAAUAAGGAUCGGCUAACUCCGUGCCAGCAGCCGCGGUAAUACGGAGGAUCCGAGCGUUAUCCGGAUUUAUUGGGUUUAAAGGGAGCGUAGAUGGGUUGUUAAGUCAGUUGUGAAAGUGUGCGGCUCAACCGUAAAAUUGCAAUUGAUACUGGCAGUCUUGAGUACAGUUGAGGUAGGCGGAAUUCGUGGUGUAGCGGUGAAAUGCUUAGAUAUCACGAAGAACUCCGAUUGCGAAGGCAGCUUACUAAACUGCCACUGACAUUGAGGCUCGAAAGUGUGGGUAUCAAACAGGAUUAGAUACCCGAGUAGUC